AAAAGAAGAUCUAAAAAAAGUAAAUAUAGAAAUAUAUAUAUACAUCUUUUUGUCUUUUUUUUUUAUUUCGUUCUCUUUUGUUUCUCCUAUUUUU
RNAcentral lists this non-coding RNA (94 nucleotides) under Pteridomonas danica. Lineage: Eukaryota; Dictyochophyceae; Pedinellales. The record is from RNAcentral.